UUAGAUACCUAAAAAGACAAACAGCGUUGCGGGCCGCAGCCACCGCCGGCUGGAGGCCCCUGGGAUGCGGCGGGGCAGGGUCCCAGACGAGAAGCAUCCCCCACCCCCGGCAAUACACACACACACACACACACACACACACACACACACUGAGCGAUCCUGACUGCCAUGGCCCGGUACCCUCCUUUUUUAAAAGCACCCCGGGUGUCACUUCCCAACUCGGAGACCAGGUAACUCCAGUCAGGCAGACUCUCCGUUCCCUGACCCCAAAUACCACUUCCCAGUCCCCAGAUAAGAAGAUUCCCGGACACGAGGCAUAGACCUCCUCUUAGCAGGCCAUCACCAACUCUGAUCCCAGGUUCCAGAUGGACUGCAAGCGCCACCCGCCCACACCAGGCGCAACCCCUCUUCUGCGCCGCAGAAACGACCCCCGGGCUCACAACCAAGCGGCCACCGGACUCUAGGUGCGGCUCCGCCCCCAGCCCAGAGGUCACCCCAGACCCCGGAACCGCCUCUCAACCUCAGGCAGCGACUGCUCGAGUCCGGAUGGCCGUGCGCCCACCUCCAGCCCAGGCGCGGCCCUGAGCUACGAACGCAGGCGCUGUUCCCCAGACUCCAGUCUGGCGCGCGGGGUCGCCGGAGACCAGGAGCAAGUCCAGCCCCCAAGCCAGGGGUCACCGAAAACCCUGGGCGCUGCCACUCCACCUUAGGCGGCGGCCCGCGCCUGGACGGCGUGACCCGCAAGAGCUGGCGGCGGGGGCGCGGGCGCGGGCGGGGCGCACCCACAGCGGCGACACCGGGGCCCGUGGCGCACGCGGGCCGCUGCUUUGCGCCGCAGCGCCCAGAAGGCCACGGACCGCAGCCCAGGCACUGACCUGUAGUGGGUUGGUUUCUCUGUCUGCGGGGGGGACCCGCUCAGCGCCGCCGCCGCCGCUUUCGAAACCGACGGCAUUUUCAGUCAAAACAAUGCAGCGCGCAUGCGCCGCGCCGGCGCCCCCGGAUCUCCCCCCCGCACCGAGCCCCCUGCGCCCCCCGCCGCGCCGGCCACACCCCCGGGCACGCCACGCCGGCCACGCCCCCACCGACCCCUCGCCCACGCGCGCUGUGCGGCGGGGGUGACACACAGGUUCUGCCGGCCCACCACGGCAGCAAGUUACAGGCGCAAGGCGGGACACGCCCGUUGGUGUAGAGUCCCCAUGAUGGCCUCUGCGUCCAGGGCUGCUGUUGGGCACAGGUUUCUUUGAACUGGAAAAAGUCUAUAAUUAGACUGUGACGAUGGUCGCCCCUUUAUUAAAUUUGUGAAUUUAAGGAUAA
Molecule: long non-coding RNA, 1314 nt
Organism: Mus musculus (house mouse)
Lineage: Eukaryota; Metazoa; Chordata; Mammalia; Rodentia; Muridae
Product: predicted gene, 52286
Exons: 2
Source: RefSeq, a predicted model, not a curated record